UGGGGAAUAUUGCACAAUGGGCGCAAGCCUGAUGCAGCCAUGCCGCGUGUGUGAAGAAGGCCUUCGGGUUGUAAAGCACUUUCAGCGGGGAGGAAGGCGAUAAGGUUAAUAACCUUGUCGAUUGACGUUACCCGCAGAAGAAGCACCGGCUAACUCCGUGCCAGCAGCCGCGGUAAUACGGAGGGUGCAAGCGUUAAUCGGAAUUACUGGGCGUAAAGCGCACGCAGGCGGUCUGUCAAGUCGGAUGUGAAAUCCCCGGGCUCAACCUGGGAACUGCAUGCGAAACUGGCAGGCUAGAGUCUUGUAGAGGGGGGUAGAAUUCCAGGUGUAGCGGUGAAAUGCGUAGAGAUCUGGAGGAAUACCGGUGGCGAAGGCGGCCCCCUGGACAAAGACUGACGCUCAGGUGCGAAAGCGUGGGGAGCAAACAGG
Molecule: ribosomal RNA, 429 nt
Filed under: Chloroflexota bacterium
Lineage: Bacteria; Bacillati; Chloroflexota
Description: Chloroflexi bacterium partial 16S ribosomal RNA
Rfam family: Bacterial small subunit ribosomal RNA
Source: RNAcentral